This 531-nucleotide long non-coding RNA is filed under the name Homo sapiens (human). RNAcentral describes it as "non-protein coding lnc-DIABLO-1:1". The record is from RNAcentral. Lineage: Eukaryota; Metazoa; Chordata; Mammalia; Primates; Hominidae.
AGCUCGGGGACCACGCGGAGGUUGUAAUUGGUCUCUAGACCACACCUAGUUGUUGAGUGCCGCUGCUUGAAAAUCUCAGUUCUGCCGAGAUCGCAGAAUACACACAAGCUACCUUUGGGCACCAGAGCAGACAGAACCGCGGAGCUUCAGGGUGGAAGAUUCGUGGAAACUUUGCCAACGCGAUGCCGGCCUCGUCCACCGUCCACGUGCUGCAGCUGCUGCGGGAGCUGCUCGCCUUCGUGCUCCUCAGCUACACGGUGCUCAUCGGGGCGCUGCUGCUGGCCGGCUGGACCACUUACUUCCUGGUGCUGAAGUGACAGCGCCGUCGCCGCGCCCGGCCCCGCCUCCCGCCCGGCCCCGCCUCCCGCCCGGCCCCGCCUCCCUAACUCACCAGGAAAUUCCCUUCAAGCCCUGGCCCGAACUGAGUCCCCGCCCACCCGCCAGCGUCACGGCGCCCGACUCAGCUCCGCGCCGGACCCACCUCCGCGCCCUCAGGCCCUGCAUAUGCCCCGCCCCGCGCGGAAGUUCCGG